This 254-nucleotide ribosomal RNA is filed under the name uncultured bacterium. Its description in RNAcentral is "partial 16S ribosomal RNA". It matches the Rfam family "Bacterial small subunit ribosomal RNA", at positions 524 to 776 of the family's 1533-position model. The record is from RNAcentral.
GACGAACCGUGCAAACGUUAUUCGGAAUCACUGGGCUUAAAGCGCGUGUAGGCGGGCCGGCACGUCGGUCGCUGAAAUCCCCCGGCUCAACCGGGGAAGCGGCGCCGAUACGACCGGCCUGGAGGGGCGUAGGGGGACCUGGAACUUCCGGUGGAGCGGUGAAAUGCGUUGAGAUCGGAAGGAACACCAGUGGCGAAAGCGGCUUCCUGGUCCGACACCGACGUUCAGGCACGAAAGCGUGGGGAGCAAACAGG